GAGGAACACGUAGGUAAUCUACCUUUGAGAUGGGGAUAACCCUGUGAAAGCGGGGCUAAUACCGAAUGUGGCGGUUCAUCGCAUGAUGGACUGACUGAAGAUGGGGCUCCUUCGGGACCUGUCGCUCAAGGAUGAGCCUGCGUCCCAUCAGCUUGUUGGUGAGGUAACGGCUCACCAAGGCUUACGGGUAGCUGGUCUGAGAGGAUAGUCAGCCACACUGGGACUGAGACACUGCCCAGACUCCUACGGGAGGCUGCAGUCGAGGAUCUUUUGCAAUGGGCGCAAGCCUGACAAAGCGACGCUGCGUGGAGGAUGAAAGCCUUCGGGUUGUAAACUCCUGUCAUUCGGGAAAAAUGAGCAUGGUGUUAAUAGUGCCGUGCAGUGAUGGUACCGGAAGAGGAAGCCACGGCUAACUCUGUGCCAGCAGCCGCGGUAAUACAGAGGUGGCGAGCGUUGUUCGGAUUUACUGGGCGUAAAGGGUGCGUAGGUGGUUUCGUAUGUCGGAUGUGAAAGCCCACAGCUCAACUGUGGAAUUGCAUUUGAAACUGCGGGGCUAGAGUGCAGGAGAGGAGAAUGGAAUUCUUGGUGUAGCGGUGAAAUGCGUUGAUAUCAAGAAGAACACCGGUGGCGAAGGCGGUUCUCUGGAAUGCUACUGACACUAAGGCACGAAAGCUGGGGGAGCAAACAGGAUUAGAUACCCUGGUAGUCCCAGCCCUAAACGGUGCGCACUUUGAUGUUGGAGGUAUUGACCCCUCCAGUGUCGAAGCUAACGCGUUAAGUGCGCCGCCUGGGGAGUACGGCCGCAAGGCUAAAACUCAAAGAAAUUGACGGGGGCCCGCACAAGCGGAGGAGCAUGUGGCUUAAUUCGAUGCAACGCGAAGAACCUUACCAGGGCUUGACAUGUAACUGCAAGUCCCAUGAAAGUGGGAUGCCUUCGAGGGUGUUACACAGGUGCUGCAUGGCUGUCGUCAGUUCGUGCCGUGAGGUGUUGGGUUAAGUCCCGCAACGAACGCAACCCCUGUGUCUAGUUGCCACUCCGGGUGUAAAUCCGGAAGCACUUUAGACAGACUGCCCGUACAAGCGGGAGGAAGGUGGGGAUGACGUCAAGUCAGCAUGGCCCUUACGUCCUGGGCUGCACACGUGCUACAAUGACCGGUACAGAAGGAUGCGAGACCGCGAGGUGGAGCAAAUCCUCAAAACCGGCCUCAGUUCAGAUUGAAGGCUGCAAUUCGCCUUCAUGAAGUUGGAUUCGCUAGUAACGGCGUAUCAGCUACGGCGCCGUGAAUACGUUCCCGGGCCUUGCACACACCGCCCGUCAAG
This 1320-nucleotide ribosomal RNA is filed under the name uncultured bacterium. RNAcentral describes it as "bacterial SSU rRNA". It matches the Rfam family "Bacterial small subunit ribosomal RNA", at positions 108 to 1401 of the family's 1533-position model. The record is from RNAcentral.